ACUCAAAUGAAUUGACGGGGGUCCGCACAAGCGGUGGAACAUGUGGUUUAAUUCGACACUACGCGAGAAACCUUACCUGGGCUUGACAUAUGACUGCUACUGAUGGAAACAUUGGGUUCUGUAGCAAUACAGACGGUUAUACAGGUGCUGCAUGGCUGUCGUCAGCUCGUGUCGUGAGACGUCGGGUUAAGUCCUUGAACGAGCGCAACCCUUGCCGUUAGUUGCCUGUCGUAAGGCGGCACUCUAGCGGGACUGCCGUGGAAACACGGAGGAAGGUGGGGAUGACGUCAAGUCCUCAUGGCCCUUAUGCCCAGGGCUACACACGUGUUACAAUGGCGAUCUACAAAAGGAUGCAAGACCGCGAGGUGGAGCAAAUCCCCAAAGUUCGUCUAAGUUCAGAUUGUAGUCUGCAACCCGACUACAUGAAGCUGAAAUCGCUAGUAAUCGCAUAUCAUCACGAUGCGGUGAAUACGUUCUCGGACCUUGCACACACCGCCCGU
This 500-nucleotide ribosomal RNA is filed under the name uncultured bacterium. Its description in RNAcentral is "partial 16S ribosomal RNA". It matches the Rfam family "Bacterial small subunit ribosomal RNA", at positions 899 to 1397 of the family's 1533-position model. The record is from RNAcentral.